RNAcentral lists this unclassified non-coding RNA (355 nucleotides) under Hevea brasiliensis (rubber tree). Lineage: Eukaryota; Viridiplantae; Streptophyta; Magnoliopsida; Malpighiales; Euphorbiaceae. The record is from RNAcentral.
UCUGCAAGCCCAGCAAGAGCAAGCAAAAACAUUUGCCGAGAAGGAUGUUCUGAGGCAGUCCUAUAAAGCUACCCUGGAAACAUCAGCAAAUAAACUUCUUGCAUUGAAAAAUGAGUUUGAUCCUGAACUUGCCCGGAAUCUUGAAAAGCAACUGGCUGAAACAAUGAAUGAGAUUGAUGCUCUGCAAAAGCAGAUGGAAAAUGCUAAGGCUUCCGAUCUUGAUUCAGUGAGAACAGUCACUUCAGAGCUUGAUGGUGCUAAGGAGUCAUUGCAGAAAGUAGCAGAAGAGGAAAGCUCCUUGCGAAGUUUGUUGGAUUCUCUUAAGCUGGAACUUGAGAAUGUGAAGAAGCAGCAU